Molecule: ribosomal RNA, 253 nt
Filed under: uncultured bacterium
Lineage: Bacteria
Description: partial 16S ribosomal RNA
Rfam family: Bacterial small subunit ribosomal RNA
Source: RNAcentral
GACAGAGGGUGCAAACGUUGUUCGGAUUUACUGGGCGUAAAGCGCGUGUAGGCGGCUUCGUAAGUUGGAUGUGAAAUCCCACGGCUCAACCGUGGACGUGCAUCCAAAACUACGUCGCUGGAGUCUCGGAGAGGAAGGUGGAAUGCUUGGUGUAGAGGUGAAAUUCGUAGAUAUCAAGCAGAACACCUGCGGCGAAGGCGGCCUUCUGGACGAUGACUGACGCUGAGGCGCGAAAGCGUGGGGAGCAAACAGG